UUUAUGGAGAGUUUGAUCCUGGCUCAGGAUGAACGCUGGCGGCGUGCCUAAUACAUGCAAGUCGAGCGAACUGACGAGGAGCUUGCUCCUUUGACGUUAGCGGCGGACGGGUGAGUAACACGUGGGUAACCUACCUAUAAGACUGGAAUAACUCCGGGAAACCGGGGCUAAUGCCGGAUAACAUGUUGAACCGCAUGGUUCAACAGUGAAAGACGGUCUUGCUGUCACUUAUAGAUGGACCCGCGCCGUAUUAGCUAGUUGGUAAGGUAACGGCUUACCAAGGCGACGAUACGUAGCCGACCUGAGAGGGKGAUCGGCCACACUGGA
This 327-nucleotide ribosomal RNA is filed under the name Staphylococcus agnetis. Its description in RNAcentral is "bacterial SSU rRNA". Lineage: Bacteria; Bacillati; Bacillota; Bacilli; Caryophanales; Staphylococcaceae. The record is from RNAcentral.